This 449-nucleotide ribosomal RNA is filed under the name uncultured bacterium. Its description in RNAcentral is "partial 16S ribosomal RNA". It matches the Rfam family "Bacterial small subunit ribosomal RNA", at positions 30 to 523 of the family's 1533-position model. The record is from RNAcentral.
AUUGAACGCUGGCGGCAUGCCUAACACAUGCAAGUCGAACGAGAUCUUCGGGUCUAGUGGCGCACGGGUGCGUAACGCGUGGGAAUCUGCCCUUUGGUUCGGAAUAACAGUUGGAAACGACUGCUAAUACCGGAUGAUGACGAAAGUCCAAAGAUUUAUCGCCAGAGGAUGAGCCCGCGUAGGAUUAGCUAGUUGGUGUGGUAAAGGCGCACCAAGGCGACGAUCCUUAGCUGGUCUGAGAGGAUGAUCAGCCACACUGGGACUGAGACACGGCCCAGACUCCUACGGGAGGCAGCAGUGGGGAAUAUUGGACAAUGGGCGAAAGCCUGAUCCAGCAAUGCCGCGUGAGUGAUGAAGGCCUUAGGGUUGUAAAGCUCUUUUACCCGGGAUGAUAAUGACAGUACCGGGAGAAUAAGCUCCGGCUAACUCCGUGCCAGCAGCCGCAGUAA